GCCUGACGCCUGAAAGGGCGACGGUGCAAGCCGGAGCGAGAAGUCAGCAGAGGUCGUAGUAGCCGCAAUCUAGGCGAAGGGC
This is a non-coding RNA of Sodalis glossinidius str. 'morsitans', 82 nucleotides long. The record is from Rfam. NCBI's taxonomy places the organism in Bacteria, Pseudomonadati, Pseudomonadota, Gammaproteobacteria, Enterobacterales, Bruguierivoracaceae.